This 100-nucleotide small RNA is filed under the name Salmonella enterica subsp. enterica serovar Sandiego. RNAcentral describes it as "partial RtT sRNA". It matches the Rfam family "RtT RNA", at positions 1 to 96 of the family's 130-position model. From Rfam's summary of the family: This family represents a bacterial cis-regulatory element known as RtT RNA. The exact function of RtT is unknown although it is thought that it may be involved in changing the cellular response in relation to amino acid starvation. Lineage: Bacteria; Pseudomonadati; Pseudomonadota; Gammaproteobacteria; Enterobacterales; Enterobacteriaceae. The record is from RNAcentral.
UGUAUCUGAAGCCUGACGAGGAUGAGAACCUCCGGGGGCAGGAGGUUCGACCCGAGCGAAGCGAGAGAACGUUGCGUCAGCAACGGCCCGCAGGGCGAGC